Molecule: ribosomal RNA, 512 nt
Filed under: uncultured bacterium
Lineage: Bacteria
Description: bacterial SSU rRNA
Rfam family: Bacterial small subunit ribosomal RNA
Source: RNAcentral
AGGGAAUAGAUACCCAGGUAGUCCUGGCAGUAAACGGUGCACGUUUGGUGUGGGCGCAAUCGACCGCGUCCGCGCCGGAGCUAAACGCGUUAAACGUGCCGCCUGGGAAGUACGGUCGCAAGAUUAAAACUCAAAGAAAUUGACGGGGACCCGCACAAGCGGUGGAGUAUGUGGCUUAAUUCGAUGCAACGCGAAGAACCUUACCUGGUCUUGACAUGCAUUGUGUCUCCGGUGAAAGCCGGAUAGGGUAGCAAUACCCGCUUUGCACAGGUGCUGCAUGGCUGUCGUCAGCUCGUGUCGUGAGAUGUUGGGUUUAAAGUCCCGCAACGAGCGCAACCCCGUGUGAUUUGUUGCCACCGGCUUAUGCCGAGCACUCGAAUCAGACUGCCUCGAUCAACGAGGAGGAAGGUGGGGAUGACGUCAAGUCCGUAUGGCCCUUACGACCAGGGCUGCACACGUACUACAAUGCCCAGUACAAUGUGAACCGAGACCGCGAGGUGGAGGAAAUCAAU